RNAcentral lists this ribosomal RNA (279 nucleotides) under uncultured bacterium. RNAcentral describes it as "partial 16S ribosomal RNA". It matches the Rfam family "Bacterial small subunit ribosomal RNA", at positions 75 to 353 of the family's 1533-position model. The record is from RNAcentral.
CUUGCUUUCUUUGCUGGCGACCGGCGCACGGGUGAGUAACACGUAUCCAACCUGCCCUUUACUCGGGGAUAGCCUUUCGAAAGAAAGAUUAAUACCCGAUAGCAUAAUGAUUCCGCAUGGUUUCAUUAUUAAAGGAUUCCGGUAAAGGAUGGGGAUGCGUUCCAUUAGGUAGUAGGCGGGGUAACGGCCCACCUAGCCCGCGAUGGGUAGUCGGGUUGAGAGACCGACCGGCCACAUUGGGACUGAGAUACGGCCCAGACUCCUACGGGAGGCAGCAUG